Heterocephalus glaber (naked mole-rat) is the source of this 104-nucleotide small nuclear RNA. Lineage: Eukaryota; Metazoa; Chordata; Mammalia; Rodentia; Bathyergidae. The record is from Ensembl.
GUGCUCGCUUCGGCAGCACAUAUACUAAACUUGGAAUGAUACAGAGAUUAGCAUGGCCCCUGCACAAGGAUGACAUGCCAAUUCGUGAAGCAUUCCAUAUUUUU